UGGCCUUGGUUAAGCUUUCUACUGUGGC
This 28-nucleotide non-coding RNA is filed under the name Mus musculus (house mouse). Lineage: Eukaryota; Metazoa; Chordata; Mammalia; Rodentia; Muridae. The record is from RNAcentral.